Molecule: unclassified non-coding RNA, 269 nt
Filed under: plant metagenome
Description: partial contains small subunit ribosomal RNA, internal transcribed spacer 1, and 5.8S ribosomal RNA
Source: RNAcentral
UUUCCGUAGGUGAACCUGCGGAAGGAUCAUUAAUGAGUUGUCAUGGGGUUCGACGCUGGCAGCCAAUUUUUGGAUGCAUGUGCUUGCCCUAACAAUCAUCUUCCAAACACCUGUGCACAUUUUUGAGGGAGUCUUGAGUUGGUUGCCGCUCUUGGGUGAUUUUCUCACAUUCCCUUAAAUCAUUAUACGCUAUUAACAAUGUUGAACGUGCUCUGUGCCGCAAGGCUAUUAAUAUAAUACAACUUUUAACAACGGAUCUCUUGGCUCUC